This 331-nucleotide unclassified non-coding RNA is filed under the name soil metagenome. RNAcentral describes it as "partial contains 5.8S ribosomal RNA, internal transcribed spacer 2, and large subunit ribosomal RNA". The stretch from base 1 to 120 matches the Rfam family "5.8S ribosomal RNA", at positions 35 to 154 of the family's 154-position model. The record is from RNAcentral.
GAUGAAGAACGUAGCGAAAUGCGAUAAGUAAUGUGAAUUGCAGAAUUCAGUGAAUCAUCGAAUCUUUGAACGCACAUUGCGCCCCCUGGUAUUCCGGGGGGCAUGCCUGUUCGAGCGUCAUUUCACCACUCAAGCCUCGCUUGGUAUUGGGCAACGCGGUCCGCCGCGUGCCUCAAAUCGUCCGGCUGGGUCUUCUGUCCCCUAAGCGUUGUGGAAACUAUUCGCUAAAGGGUGUUCGGGAGGCUACGCCGUAAAACAACCCCAUUUCUGAGGUUGACCUCGGAUCAGGUAGGGAUACCCGCUGAACUUAAGCAUAUCAAUAAGCGGAGGA